CACUGGUUCUCGUACGAUCACUGAAGUUAAGCAGCGUCGAACCUGGUCAGUUCCUAGAUGAGUGACUGCUUGGGAAUAUCAGGUGCUGUAAG
Molecule: non-coding RNA, 92 nt
Organism: Acanthosepion pharaonis
Lineage: Eukaryota; Metazoa; Mollusca; Cephalopoda; Sepiida; Sepiidae
Source: the annotation of a GenBank genome assembly